Molecule: RNA transcript, 1108 nt
Organism: Danaus plexippus (monarch butterfly)
Lineage: Eukaryota; Metazoa; Arthropoda; Insecta; Lepidoptera; Nymphalidae
Gene name: serine/arginine-rich splicing factor 7-like
Exons: 5
Source: RefSeq, a predicted model, not a curated record
UAGUGACAAGAAACGCGGGGAUCGGCCAUUUUGCCUGACAUCCGGUAGCGGCUUAAUGAUUAGACGCAUUAUUUUAACGAUAUCUACAAAUCCAUAUUCUAGGAUUCACUUGAAUUUACAUAUAAGUUUCGUAGUGUUGUGAAUCGACUGUCGAAUACAAAACAAUUAUUCCGUCUCAUUUCAUAGUGAUACCUACUUUUACAAACAAUCAAUGAAACAUUACAUUUUACUGCAUUAGUCCACAGUGCUUAGGGUAAAAUGUCACGAUAUGGCGACUGCAAGGUUUAUGUUGGAGAUUUAGGAAACAACGCUAGUAAACCUGAACUUGAAGAUGCAUUUUCUUAUUAUGGCCCUUUAAGGAAUGUUUGGGUGGCUAGAAAUCCACCAGGUUUCGCUUUUGUUGAAUUUGAAGAUCCUCGGGAUGCGGAAGAUGCAAUACGAGGUUUAGAUGGACGAACAAUAUGUGGACGUCGUGCUCGAGUGGAAAUGUCAAAUGGCGGUCGGGGCUACGGGGGCCGCGGACCUCCUCCGCGCUCGCGGCUACCACCACGGCCCUACGAUGACCGUUGUUAUGACUGUGGAGACCGUGGCCAUUACGCCAGAGACUGCACUCGACGCCGCCGUCGCAGGUUAUCAUUGGCCAGUGCGCCGAGAAUGAACUCUUCAGUGUCUGCACUCCUUAUAAUCUGCGCUACGUAGCUUUCACUUCGCUCCGUGUACUCCACUAAUGUUGGCAGCUACGACUAUAACUUCAAUAUGUGAACUACGUACCUACAGACUACGUGUUAACUUCACUUAUUGAGAAGUACACUGAGCAUAAUGUUUGUACUUCGCGUCGCGUCAGGUCACGUCACGUCACGUCACGACACGACAGGUUUCGUCACUUCACGUCAGGUCACACGUCUUUUGUAAUCACUGCGUGAACUCAUCGUUCGAGGUCUCGUCGCCGCACCCGUUCUCGUUCUCCAAGGUCUGGGUCCCGGUCUCGCAGCCGUUCCCGCUCUCGUUCCCGUUCCAAAGGGAGGUCCAUGUCGCGUUCAAGAUCACGCUCCCCGUCUAAAGAUUCUAAGAAGUCCAAUUAAAAAUCUACCACAAAGGUAGAAACAAA